RNAcentral lists this ribosomal RNA (323 nucleotides) under uncultured Cercozoa. RNAcentral describes it as "SSU rRNA". The stretch from base 105 to 323 matches the Rfam family "Eukaryotic small subunit ribosomal RNA", at positions 736 to 955 of the family's 1831-position model. The record is from RNAcentral. Lineage: Eukaryota; Cercozoa.
GAUUUCUGGUCUGACAUGCCUGGCCCGCCGGGGUCACCCGCGUGAGUGCCGGUGCGCGUCUACCAUCCUUCUGGAAAACGGCCUUACCCUUCACUGGGCCGAGGUCGCGAUCCAGAUCUUUUACUUUGAAAAAAUUAGAGUGUUUAAAGCAGGCUUACGCUGUGAAUACAUUAGCAUGGAAUAAUAAUUUAGGACUUCGGUCUCUAUUUUGUUGGUUUCUAGAGCUGAAGUAAUGAUUGAUAGGGAUAGUUGGGGGUGCUAGUAUUCAUCGGCCAGAGGUGAAAUUCUUGGAUUCGAUGAAGACUAACUUAUGCGAAAGCAUU